UUCUCAACCACCUUGAGCCUAGGGUUUAGACUGAAACAGAAGUGUAUCCAGGCAAGAUCUAUAGAUCCCUUCUAUAGAGGGGAAAGGGGCAAGAAGAUCACGAUAAUGAUGAAACCAUGGACCCCAAGAGAUUUUCAGUUGAUUCACUUGGGUUCUCCUGGAAUACAAAACUAUCAUCGACAAAUAAAGAUAACUUUACCUA
Molecule: long non-coding RNA, 202 nt
Organism: Bubalus bubalis (water buffalo)
Lineage: Eukaryota; Metazoa; Chordata; Mammalia; Artiodactyla; Bovidae
Exons: 2
Source: RefSeq, a predicted model, not a curated record